This 460-nucleotide ribosomal RNA is filed under the name uncultured Glomus. RNAcentral's name for it is "SSU rRNA". It matches the Rfam family "Eukaryotic small subunit ribosomal RNA", at positions 569 to 1034 of the family's 1831-position model. The record is from RNAcentral. Lineage: Eukaryota; Fungi; Glomeromycota; Glomeromycetes; Glomerales; Glomeraceae.
AGCAGCCGCGGUAAUUCCAGCUCCAAUAGCGUAUAUUAAAGUUGUUGCAGUUAAAAAGCUCGUAGUUGAAUUUCGGGAUUAGUAGUCUGGUCGUGCCACUGGUAUGUACUGGUCUUACUGAUUUCUCCUUCUUGAAGAACCGUAAUGUCAUUAAUUUGGUGUUGCGGGGAAUCUGGACUGUUACUUUGAAAAAUUAGAGUGUUUAAAGCAGGCUAACGCUUGAAUACAUUAGCAUGGAAUAAUGAAAUAGGACGAUCGAUCCUAUUUUGUUGGUUUCUAGGAUUGACGUAAUGAUUAAUAGGGAUAGUUGGGGGCAUUAGUAUUCAAUUGUCAGAGGUGAAAUUCUUGGAUUUAUUGAAGACUAACUACUGCGAAAGCAUUUGCCAAGGAUGUUUUCAUUAAUCAAGAACGAAAGUUAGGGGAUCGAAGACGAUCAGAUACCGUCGUAGUCUUAACCAUA